RNAcentral lists this long non-coding RNA (572 nucleotides) under Homo sapiens (human). RNAcentral describes it as "non-protein coding LINC01672:12". The record is from RNAcentral. Lineage: Eukaryota; Metazoa; Chordata; Mammalia; Primates; Hominidae.
AAGGGCUGUUGUUUUUGCCUGUCAUGGAGUUCCGUUCAUUCUGAACAUGUCACCGGGGACUUUGGAAUGUGUAUCCAUAACUCCCUGAUUUUCAACCACAUUCCAGCCUGCCUGACUCAUGAAGCGUGGAGCGACCCAGGAACAUCCCAGCUCCUCAUGUCCCACAUUCUUCAGGCUUUCUCUUAGUUUUGGCAUGUGCAUGUAAAUGUCAACAGGUGCCCAGAUCAGCGCCUGAUAUAUACUUGGCACACAAUAACCACUCUUGAAAUUCAUGAAGGGAUCAAUAAAGGCAAAAACCAGGAGAUCCCAUAAAUCCCGCUGAGCCUGUCAUAGCUAUCAAAUUAUACCCAGAUAAAGCUUCUGGUGGCUAAUGACAUGGCCAUCACCCAGCGUGGACGUGGGCAGGAGGGGCUCUCCGGGAGCAUCUGGUCUGCUGUGGAGACACUUGUCAUCUGGAGGCUCUGUGGCUCUAAUGGAGGGUGAUGCUUUGAACGCGACUAUCUCCCCCAUAAAAAAAUAAAUAAAUAAUAAGUAUAAUUUAAAAAUAAACAAAGAUCUGGAUUUGCAGGCUA